ACUCCAAGAAGGUUGACCGCACUGUUAUGAACCAGCUUCCGACGUGGGCCGGGCGGUAAGCACACCAAAUUGGGCUGAUCGGUGGAGUAACCCGCCUAUACAACAGCAACCAAACAAGCCUCCCCUUCUCUACAUAUACAGCCCACCUAGUUAGCCUGGAGACCAAACACAAUCUACAGUAGGCCUACAUACACCUACCACCCAACCAAACACCAAGGCCUUCCCCCAUUUAGACUGCCUUGGGCUGCCCAGGCUACAGAACUAAGCCUGGCUAGUCUAAGUCCAACAACCAAACAGCCCCUAAAGUGAUGAUUGAAAGAAGCUUGGUUAGUGUAAGGCUCUCUUGUUUGCUUAUGUUUGUGAACAACAUGGGCACCAAUUUUGAUGCCAUUUCUUUCAGGGUGUAGCCUGCCUGUCUGUUUGAUGAAAUGUGAUGGAGAUGAUGUGGGUUCUGAAGAAAAUGAAGUUGAGAAAUGACAACCUCUUCCCGAUGAACAAAGGACUGAAGAUGAUCCUGAAUCGUCAUGGCUUUGAUGUCAAACCAGAGAUGGUUAAACAACAACAACAACAUAGCAUGAAAGAAUUAUUCUGAUGGCAUGCCUCUUGCUGGAUUGUGAAUAUUGUGAUGUGAAAAACUAAAAACCCUUGCGUUUGGCUGAUUAACACCUUAAGGAUGUGUCUAGCAUUAACUUCGAAGUGAAGCUGAAACCUUAAGGUGUUUCAGCUGGGACUUGAUGUUGUGAUGGCACUGAAGAUUAUGUUACCCUGCUGAAACAACUAUGGCUGAGAAAGCGAUGUUUACACAUGUUGAGGCGUUGAAGUUUGAGAAGGAUGCAGAUAAAUUUGAAGCUAAGACCAAUAUGGGCAUUUGCUUGAAUGUUUACAAUGAGAUGGUGGAAGAUUCGCAAUGGUACAAUAUCUAUGCCUUAAUCUUUCAUGUUUAGGUAAAAAUACUUUCUUUACAUUUAUUAUUUCCAUAUCUCUGUUUAGUGGGUUAACUGAACCUAAAAGAAUGUGAGUUAGCUGUAAAAUGGUAAAAGACUUCUCCAUAUAAAAAAAGGAGUUAAAUGCACACUUGGUACUGCACCUGAUCAUUUGGUUCGGGUCCGGUCAGAAAGAGCCCUUCGCCAAAGGCAGAGCAUGGCAGCAGGAUUCGAGCAGAGCAGCAACUGCAACCUAGCCUGUAUUCUAGACUUCUGGUUAGUUCAAUAUUUCUUUUGUUGGUUCCAACUCUUUUUUCCUAUAUAAUUUU
This is a long non-coding RNA of Panicum virgatum (switchgrass), 1252 nucleotides long. RefSeq lists it as uncharacterized. The record is from RefSeq and is a predicted model, not a curated record. The transcript is spliced from 3 exons. Lineage: Eukaryota; Viridiplantae; Streptophyta; Magnoliopsida; Poales; Poaceae.